This is a long non-coding RNA of Alexandromys fortis (reed vole), 2012 nucleotides long. RefSeq lists it as uncharacterized. NCBI's taxonomy places the organism in Eukaryota, Metazoa, Chordata, Mammalia, Rodentia, Cricetidae. The transcript has 2 exons. The record is from RefSeq and is a predicted model, not a curated record.
GAAAGCUUGCUAUUGUCUUAAAAGUGGGUAGAACAAUUGCUGUUGCUCGGGUGCCAGGAACCCGGGAGUGUCUACAUAGUUAGCUUAACCUAAGCAAGCAAGAUGUACUAUAACCUCUACUAAACGCUAAUGUAAACCCUGUGACAUUCUAACGUCAAGAUAUUGACAGUUUUGUACUUAAAGUCUCAGUGCGUAUCGCAGGGACUUCUAGCCGUGGUUUUAUCAGGAAAACGUAAGUCUCAAGGAAACUGACUUAAAUUAACAUUCCACUAGCACUCUGCAGAUCAAAUAUCAUGAAAUAAGUGUCUGAAUAAAGAGAUGGUUCUCGUAUGCAAUUAAGCGGCCCAUGGAAAGUCCUUAGUCACUCUUUCCUCAGGAAGUUACUGUCCUAAACUUAAAAACUGAAACAACUUCCUGCUUCAUUUCAUGCUGGGUAAUUUCAUGUGGAAUUGCCUCUCCCUGUUCCCUUCAGUUCCUCUUUCCCUGAUUGGGGACUAGGUCUCCAGUAUGGUCCAGGAACCGCCACUUACAGCCCCUGCAGGCAAUGUUAAAAUAUGCUGUACUUUUUACACUCGCCUUUUAAGCGCAUUCCUGAUUCCUAAGGUUCAAUUUCAAAUUUUUUUUUCAAGAUACAUGCUCCCUCUAAACCUUCCCGUCAGUGAAAACUAAAUCCAUCCAUGACUCCCAAAGUCAGUAUUUCUGCCCUUCCUGCUGUUUCUCUUCCUUUCCAGCAGCGAGCAAGCUGUGCGCAUGCCCAAAGUCCCGCUCUACCCCUGCCUCUUCUGUCUUGGCGGGUCCGUGUUCUGCUCUUCCUUAAGGACUUCCUUUCCCAGAAGCCUCUCUUAAUGACACAACACCCCUGGUUUGCCGUUUAAUACACAGAUUAAAGAGCUACCUACACAGGGGUCUCCUUGAGAGAUAGCACCGAGGUAAAGAACACUAUCAUUAAGGCAGUGUUUUUCAGGCCGGGUUUACAACUUAAUUAUUUUAGCCCAUUAGCAAGAAAAGAGCAUCCUAAAUAGCACCGACCCCCCCCCCCUUAUUUGUAAUGUGAAGUAUCCACACCCUGUGAAGUUGUUAAAAGCCCAGAAGGAGUUGAUCUGUGUAAAGUUCUUUUCUUUAGGCGGGAGGGAGGGCAAGGUUUCUCUGUGUAGCCCUGACUGUCCUGGAACUAACUGUAGACCAGGCUGGCCUCGAAGUCAGAGAUCCACCUGCCUCUGCCUCCUCAGUGCUGGGAUUAAAGGCUUCUACCACCACCACCUGACCUGUAUAAACUUCUUAAUGAUAUAUUUGUAAAUUUUUUGUUGGGACUCUAAUCUUCAAGUGUUAGAUGCCAUUUUUAAGUAAGUUUUUAAGGAUCGCCUUUUUAAAAAAGUAACUAUCAGUAGGCUGGGGAAAUGUUUUGAAUAUACACCAUUAGGUACAACUGAAGAACCAUACUGUGGAUUCAUACUUUGAAACACACACAAUUAAAGAUUGCCAUAUAUAUGAAACAAUUCAUGUAGAAAUCUCGGUAAGUGACUCAAAAACAGAGUGUAGAGAGAUGAAAAAUUAUUUAAUGAAAAAAAUCAGCAUUUUGAUAUUACGAUUUUACCUGAUUAUGUGUGUGCUUUAACAGUGUAUUACAGUGCAGGGCUGUCCUGCAGCACCCCUGACAACCUGACAACUUCGGGUUCUAAAAGGCCCCUGUGGCCAAGAGCAUGUUUUGCAUGUUCUAGUGUGCCUGCUUAUGACUGGGGAAAACGGGCGUCCUAAUAUGAUUCCCCCUCAUAACCUGUAAGUGGUGGCAAAAAUACCAUCCUGCCGCAAGGAAAUGUAAAAAGCAAAACAGAGUAGCAGGGAAAUUUCCAGAAGAAUUUCUUUCCCAUGAAGAAAAUAGUUGACUCACACUUCACUGAGAUAUACUGAGCAAAUAUCUGUAAAAUACGCCUUCCUUUCCCAGUUCUGAAUGACUUCAGGCAGCCAGUGCAUUUGUAGGUAUUUUUAAGCUAACAGUGAUCGACUGUGGGGGG